GAUGAACGCUGACCGAAUGCUUAACACAUGCAAGUCGAUGGGGAAGUGGUGCUUGCACCAUGGUAACCAUGGCGGACGGGUGAGUAACGCGUAAGGAACUUGCCUGCGGGACUGGGAUAACAGCAGGAAACUGCUGAUAAUACCGGAUAAGGUCAUUAAGCUGCAUAGCUUAGUGAUGAAAGGAGACGCCUGCGGAGAGCCUUGCGUCCUAUUAGCUAGUUGGAGGGGUAACGGCCCACCAAGGCGAAGAUAGGUAGCCGGCCUGAGAGGGUGGACGGCCACAAGGGGACUGAGAUACGGCCCUUACUCCUACGGGAGGCAGCAGUGGGGAAUAUUGGACAAUGGGGGCAACCCUGAUCCUGCAAUUCUGUGUGCACGAAGACGGUUUUCGGAUUGUAAAGUGCUUUCAGCAGGGAAGAAGGAAGUGACGGUACCUGCAGAAGAAGCGACGGCUAAAUACGUG
Molecule: ribosomal RNA, 463 nt
Filed under: uncultured bacterium
Lineage: Bacteria
Description: partial 16S ribosomal RNA
Rfam family: Bacterial small subunit ribosomal RNA
Source: RNAcentral